This 122-nucleotide transfer RNA is filed under the name Hortaea werneckii. Its description in RNAcentral is "tRNA-Gly". It matches the Rfam family "tRNA". From Rfam's summary of the family: Transfer RNA (tRNA) molecules are approximately 80 nucleotides in length. Their secondary structure includes four short double-helical elements and three loops (D, anti-codon, and T loops). Further hydrogen bonds mediate the characteristic L-shaped molecular structure. tRNAs have two regions of fundamental functional importance: the anti-codon, which is responsible for specific mRNA codon recognition, and the 3' end, to which the tRNAs corresponding amino acid is attached (by aminoacyl-tRNA synthetases). tRNAs cope with the degeneracy of the genetic code in two manners: having more than one tRNA (with a specific anti-codon) for a particular amino acid; and 'wobble' base-pairing, i.e. permitting non-standard base-pairing at the 3rd anti-codon position. RNAcentral also lists the same sequence under 1 other name. The record is from RNAcentral. Lineage: Eukaryota; Fungi; Ascomycota; Dothideomycetes; Mycosphaerellales; Teratosphaeriaceae.
GCGUUGAUGGUUUAGUGGUAAAAUUGGCCGUUGCCACUCCGAUUCCUAAAUAGGAAGUAGCGCAGCUACUCCAGGCAAAGGACAACAUCGGCCAGCCCCGGGUUCGAUUCCCGGUCGACGCA